AGGAACUCUGCUGUCGAACAGAAAAGACAAAUAGUCACACUCAACCAUAACAUUUUGAUUUUGAUUAAAGUCAACUCUUCAAUGCGAUCCUGAUUGUCGCGGUAAAUUGGAACAACGUUGGCUCGUCACCCACAAGAAUUAAAUUGAAAUUAAUAUAAAAUAUGCAACGUGAUAGCGCGAAAGGGUCAAACAUGGACACGAAAAUUAAAUAUAACCAAGUAGCCGCAUACAGCCAAACGACCGGUCACAACAACUCCAAAGUCACACAAAUAAGCUACGUGCAACCCCCAUUUAGAAUAUCUCCUCCUAAACCAACUAAGAAGUAGUAAUUGUUCAGAAUCGAUUUUUUUUAUCGUAAUGUAUAUUUCUAACAAAUAAACCAUGUCAAUAAUA
This is a long non-coding RNA of Melitaea cinxia (Glanville fritillary), 393 nucleotides long. RefSeq lists it as uncharacterized. Lineage: Eukaryota; Metazoa; Arthropoda; Insecta; Lepidoptera; Nymphalidae. The record is from RefSeq and is a predicted model, not a curated record. The transcript is spliced from 2 exons.